Molecule: unclassified non-coding RNA, 24 nt
Filed under: Mus musculus (house mouse)
Lineage: Eukaryota; Metazoa; Chordata; Mammalia; Rodentia; Muridae
Description: oocyte_clustered_small_RNA8388
Source: RNAcentral
CACACUCCGGGAUGCUGAGAUUCU